ACACGGAGGGUGCAAGCGUUACUCGGAAUCACUGGGCGUAAAGGAUGCGUAGGCGGGUAAUCAAGUUGAGAGUGAAAUCCUAUGGCUUAACCAUAGAACUGCUCUCAAAACUGGUUACCUAGAAUAUGGAAGAGGCAGAUGGAAUUAGUGGUGUAGGGGUAAAAUCCGUAGAGAUCACUAGGAAUACCGAUUGCGAAGGCGAUCUGCUGGGACAUUAUUGACGCUGAGGCAUGAAAGCGUGGGGAGCAAACAGGAUUAGAAACCCUAGUAGUCC
RNAcentral lists this ribosomal RNA (274 nucleotides) under uncultured bacterium. Its description in RNAcentral is "partial 16S ribosomal RNA". It matches the Rfam family "Bacterial small subunit ribosomal RNA", at positions 523 to 796 of the family's 1533-position model. The record is from RNAcentral.